RNAcentral lists this transfer RNA (84 nucleotides) under Pseudomonadota bacterium. RNAcentral's name for it is "tRNA-Leu". It matches the Rfam family "tRNA". From Rfam's summary of the family: Transfer RNA (tRNA) molecules are approximately 80 nucleotides in length. Their secondary structure includes four short double-helical elements and three loops (D, anti-codon, and T loops). Further hydrogen bonds mediate the characteristic L-shaped molecular structure. tRNAs have two regions of fundamental functional importance: the anti-codon, which is responsible for specific mRNA codon recognition, and the 3' end, to which the tRNAs corresponding amino acid is attached (by aminoacyl-tRNA synthetases). tRNAs cope with the degeneracy of the genetic code in two manners: having more than one tRNA (with a specific anti-codon) for a particular amino acid; and 'wobble' base-pairing, i.e. permitting non-standard base-pairing at the 3rd anti-codon position. Lineage: Bacteria; Pseudomonadati; Pseudomonadota. The record is from RNAcentral. RNAcentral also lists the same sequence under 3 other names.
GCCGGAGUGGCGGAACUGGCAGACGCGCACGACUCAAAAUCGUGUAUCCUUACGGAUAUGUGGGUUCGAUUCCCACCUUCGGCA